Molecule: non-coding RNA, 354 nt
Organism: Candidatus Schekmanbacteria bacterium GWA2_38_11
Lineage: Bacteria; Candidatus Schekmaniibacteriota
Source: Rfam
GGGGGCGAAUUGGAUUCGACGGGGAUAAGUGGGGUUUAGCGGGGCAUGCCGAGGUCCCAAUGGCUCGUAAAACAAUUGGGAAAAAACAAACGCAGACAAUUACGCUCUGCCUUUAGCUGCCUAAGAACAGCUAAUCUCGGUUAAGUUCUCGCCUGCGGGGCUUAAUCGGGACAAAUUAGCAGGCUGGUCUUUCUUUCACCGCUUGAUGGAGAAAAGAUGAGAACAAUUCAAGCUGGUCCUUUGAGUAUCCUGCCUCUGGGAGACUUAAAGGGCGAGAUUAAAACAGAGGAUAAGCAUGUAGGACCUUAAAUUUCAUAUCUUCGGACAGGGGUUCGAUUCCCCUCGCCUCCAUUA